RNAcentral lists this ribosomal RNA (519 nucleotides) under uncultured bacterium. RNAcentral describes it as "partial 16S ribosomal RNA". It matches the Rfam family "Bacterial small subunit ribosomal RNA", at positions 355 to 867 of the family's 1533-position model. The record is from RNAcentral.
UGGGGAAUUUUGGACAAUGGGCGCAAGCCUGAUCCGGCCAUGCCGCGUGCGGGAAGAAGGCCUUCGGGUUGUAAACCGCUUUUGUCAGGGAAGAAAUCUUCUGAGUUAAUACCUCGGGAGGAUGACGGUACCUGAAGAAUAAGCACCGGCUAACUACGUGCCAGCAGCCGCGGUAAUACGUAGGGUGCAAGCGUUAAUCGGAAUUACUGGGCGUAAAGCGUGCGCAGGCGGUUUUGUAAGACAGAGGUGAAAUCCCCGGGCUCAACCUGGGAACUGCCUUUGUGACUGCAAGGCUUGAGUGCGGCAGAGGGGGAUGGAAUUCCGCGUGUAGCAGUGAAAUGCGUAGAUAUGCGGAGGAACACCGAUGGCGAAGGCAAUCCCCUGGGCCUGCACUGACGCUCAUGCACGAAAGCGUGGGGAGCAAACAGGAUUAGAUACCCUGGUAGUCCACGCCCUAAACGAUGUCAACUGGUUGUUGGGAAGGUUCCUUCUCAGUAACGUAGCUAACGCGUGAAGUUG